This 17709-nucleotide long non-coding RNA is filed under the name Durio zibethinus. RNAcentral describes it as "long non-coding RNA (DZIB_LNC002301)". Lineage: Eukaryota; Viridiplantae; Streptophyta; Magnoliopsida; Malvales; Malvaceae. The record is from RNAcentral.
UUAAUAACCCUUGCAGGGUCCUUCCCUUGCAUGCAUGGAUUGCACCGAUAAAAUUGAAUGACAGGAAUCUGGAACCGGAGACUCUGUUGAUCAUCAAUGUCGGAUAAUAGUUUAUACUCGCGAGGUGUGGCCUUGGCCGGAGCAACAAGCUCGGCUUCGCUUCUUCGAAUUGUAAAUACUAGGGAAGUUGGCAGUUGUGCCAUAGCACAAAACCUGUAGGAUUUAUGUGGGGUUAGACACAGAUGAUAGAAAGAAUACUUAGAGAUCAGCUGAUAAAAUGUGUGUUGGUUGUUUAAGCAUUGUGGAAGUAAUAUUUAUAAGGACGGAUUUUUUUAUGUAAGUUGAAUAAAAUUAAAUAAGUUGGCAGGAUUUUAUCACUCAAUAUGUGAAAAAUAAGCGACGACAAAUCUUAAACAUAUUAAUAUUCACUGAUAUUUCUUUAUUUAUUGUUUAUUUUUAUACCUAUUUUGUCUAAUCAGCAAAGUAUGUUUUCCUAUUUCAAAAAUUAAAAAUUAAAAGCAAUGUAUGUUUGCCAAAUUGGUUUGAGAUUUUGCUGAUACCAGUGAAAGAGACGUGCCCGCUGAAUAUAAUAUAAUAUAAUAUAUAUAUUGAUAAUAAAAACAAUAAAAUGCAGUUAAUUAAUUAAUUUUUGAAUGAAUAUAAUAUUUAUAGAUUAAGAGAACCAUUUGGGACAUUAAAUUGGUCCACAUCCUUAGGGAGGCUAAUUAUUUUGCUGAUCCAAAAAAGGAAGUGUACUGCUCUGUUUUCAUUCAAACGUGGCUGUAGCUGAGUGCUUUGAUGUUCUGAUUUGAGAUGCAUUGCCUGGUUGUCGUUAAAGCUUUUUCCUGGAAAAAGCUGUUUUGUAACGACCUUUUUGGUUGGAUAAAAUUCAAUUUUUGGUUGAAAAAAACAAUAUUUAAUUUAAACAAUCGAAAUUUUAAUCAAAUUAAUUGAAUUUAUUUUAAUUAAUUAAUUUUUAAAAAUAAAAUUUUUAAUUUAAUUAAUUUAUUUUAAAAUUAAUCGAAUCUAUAAAAUAAAUAAUACAUCGAAAUGAUCUUCAUGACUUCAAAAAAAAGUCGUGUACGCUAAAAAAAUAAUACAUCGAAAUGAUCUUCAUGACUUCAAAAAAAGGUCGUGUACGCUGAGUCCAUGCCUAAAUCAGGAAACUUAUUAUCUACCACAGUAAUUACGUUAUAAAAAGAAAAAUUUUGUGAAGCAGACAAAGCAUGCUGCGUCAGACGGAUUUUGUUUUUUUCUCUUACAAAAAUUGCGUGGUGAAAUAAGCAGCGGCCCACCAAUAAAACGACAAAUUUGACACUAUUUUCGCACAGUUAAUCAGUCAGAAUCUUUCGAUCUGUCAAUUAUGAAAUGAGAGUUCCACAAAUUUUGCCCAUCAGUAUUAAUUUGAUUUAUUGUUGUUUUCUCAUAAUUUUGAGUAUAUAAAUGAUUAAACUUAAAUUAUAUGAAAUAAUCACUAAAACUAAUCUAUGAUAAAUUUAAAUCUUUAUUAAUGCUCUUUUUUUAUUGAAGUUUAGAGAACAAAAUUAAGAUUCGUAAAUCUAUAGUUAGAUUUAAUAAAUAGAGUUAUUAUCAAUCUUUUUUAUUAGAUAUGAUUGAUCAUUUAAUGAAUUUAUUUUUUCAAAUAACUUCUAAGCUUGACUAAGAGUCUUUAAAAGAAUAAGUUUUGAUUUAUUAAUCAAAACUGAAUUUAAAAAUUCAGUUAUAUAUGAAGAAAGUUAUAGUACCUCCAUGUGCCCAUAAAAAAAUGGUACUAUUUUAUUUUAAAUUAUCUUAAGAUCUCAAUUAUAAUGAUCUUAAAAUUAAUGUUAAAUAUUAGAAAUAACUUUUAAGAUUUUUCAUCAAUCUGGUAAAUUUAUUAAAAUUUAUGUUAUCACCUCAAUAGUACUUAAGAAUCUCAUUUAUUUUUUUGAAGAGAUUCCGUCGUCGAAAAAAAUUUUAAUUAUUUUUUAUUUUGAUUUUUUUAAAAUAUAUAUAAUUAUUUCAUAAUUUGAGCUAAAUUAGAAAUAUCUUUUCUUUUUAAUUUCUAAAUUUUUCACUAUUUGGGCCUAUUUAGAAAUUUUCUUUUUAAUUUUUAAACUUUUCACUAUUUGAGUUUACUUAAAAAAUUUUAUUUCUCAUUGGAAAGAAAAUAAUAUGAUAAUUAUUUUUUAUUGAAAUUUCAUUUAAAUUUUUUUACCAUUUAGAACAAAUUUAAAGAAAUUUCUUACAUAGAGAUUUUUUAAGAAAUUUACGAUUUGAAUUUUAUAAGAUUCUCAUCCUUGGAUAAUUGUCAAAUAUUUUUCACCAAAAAAUUUUAUUUUAACUUAUUAUUAUUAUUUGUUUGAAAAUAAAUAUUAAUUAUUAUUAUUAAAAUUUUAUCUAAAUUAUUCUACCAUUUGGGAUAAAUUUAGAAAAAAAUUUCUCACAUAGAAAAUUUAUAGAAAUUUAUAAUUUAAAAUUUUUAAAAAUUUCAUCAUUAGAUAAUUAUUAUUUAUUCUCAAAAAAUAUUUUAUCUUUUUUUAUAUUUUAUAUAUUUUUUUAAAAUUUAAUCAUGCAAAAAAUAAAUAAAUAAUAAAUAAUAUCUAAAAUCAGCUCUGUUUGGUGGCUGAAACGGUUUGCUUCAGACAUAGAUAACGACUGAAAGACGGGACUUAGGAGACUCGGUUCGAUUGGAGGUGUUGGCUGGAAAGCGGGUUAAUAGAACAAGUUGCGAUUGGGUUGAGUCACCCGUUGGGAAAACAUGCAGAUCCUAGGGGCUGCUUAAGGCCAAAACGAAGUCAUUUCAGUGAAAGUAUAAAAGCUUGAAUUCAGUUUUUUGGGGUUAGACUUCACCUUUGCUCUCUUUUUCUCUUUUUCCCUUCCUCUCUCUUUAGAAUUCGAAAAACUCCGAUUGAAUCUUCACCGAAUUUUUGAAAAAGUUGACAGAAUCUAGGUUAGUUCGCCAGAAGUUCACCUAAAGAUUCAACCUUUACUUGAAUCUUCUACUGGGUUUUGAAAAAUUAGUCAAAAAAUUUAACCGUUACAAAAAAAAUCACCCGAAUCUGAAAAUUUUAUCCGAAUUUGGAAGUUUUUCAGAUUUUUUCAAAAAAAAAAAUCUUCUUUUUUCAAACAAAAAAUGUUCAAAAAAAGUUUUACUUUCAAAAUUUAAAAUUUAUAACCUAUUUAUUUACUCCACCUUUUAAGCUAUGUAUAUUCGUUUAAUAUGUAUAUAUAUUAAUUUUAAAAUGAUUAAAAGAUAAUCAAAUCAAUUAAAAUUAAUUUUGGAAUAUAUCAAAUGAAAUGAAUUUCAUUAUUAUUAUUAUUACACUAAUUUCAAAAUCCUUAUUUUUUCAUAAAGCUUUUGGCAAAAAAAGAAAAUUUCGAAUGUGGAUGGCCUAUACUAUUGACAUAUAGACGAUUUUGAAAAAUCUCCAUGUGUCCUAUAUUUUAUUUUAUUUGAAUUAUGUUUAAAAAAUUAAAUUAAUUAUAUUUAUUUUCUAUUAUUAUUUACUUUAAAUCUAUCUCAAUUAAAUUCAUAAAAUUAUUUUAGUUGCCAUCAUCAUAGGAUAAUUUUGUGUUUUUUUUGAAUUAUAAUAUUCAACUCUUAAGUUACAUUUGUGUAAAAAAAAUUCACUUUCCAAUUUUAAAAUCUAUGACCUAUUUAUUUAUUUCACCUUUUAAGCUAUGUAUAUACGUUUAAUAUAUAUAUAUAUAUAUAUUAAUUUUAAAAUGGUUAAUAGAUGAUCAAAUUAAUUAAAAUUUAUAUUGGAAUAUAUCAAAUAAAAUGAAUUUCAUUACCAUUAUUACACUAAUUUCAAAAUCCUUAUUUUUUCAUUUCUCCUAAACAAUUUAAAUACAGAAUAUGUUUGAUUAUUUUAAUUGUUAAGCAUAAGUUACUCUUAAUUUAAAAUACUAUUAUUGAUCUUGAUUUGGUUCUUAAAUUAUUUUUAAUUAAUUAGACAUUCAAAAGUUACAAAUCAUCCAAUAAGUAUUUUCAAUACUCAUCCUAUAAAUAAGGGUGCUUUGAGAUGCUUAAGAAAUAAAUUGUUUCCUUGCAAUAUUUUUUUCCUGGAUAUUCCUUUGUCAUGUAGUAGAUCUAGCUUAAAUCCUAUAAAUAAGUUCUCUUUUGAUACAAAAGGUAGGAGAAGUAACAGUGACAAAUGUCUAUAGAGAGGCAAAUAGGAUGGCUGACUCAUUGGCAAAAGCGGGGGUGGAGAGAUCAAAUAUGUUUAUGGCCUGGUGGUAGUUUGACUGUGAGGAACGUAUGUAGCUGAUUACUGCCUUUCAAGGGUUCCCUUUCUAAGAUGGUGUUUAGGAUUGUUUUGUUAGAGCUUGCCUGGACAGAUCUGCUACUUUUUUUUUUUUGGUAUGUAAUGGAUGGAUUGUGGUGUAGAAUUGGGGUGUUGGACUGUGUUUGGUGUGUAAUGGAAGAGAGUUCAGUACUUUCUUUCGAAAUAUCUUUAACACAUUAAUAAAAUCAUACUGAUUUAGCAAAAAAAAAAAAAUUUCUUUCUUUUUGUUUGUGAUGUUAUAUAUGGAUGGAUUAGAUGCACAAAUUACUUUAUGUUUGGUUUUGUAUUAUUUUUGUGUAUUGCUUUAUUUUUUCUUUGUGUUAAGAAUUUUUAGGUUAAUUUUUUAUCAUAGUUGUAUAAUGAUUUUUUAAAAAUCAUUUUUUAAAAGAAAUUUUAAAAAUAAUCAACAUUUCUUGAAAAGUUAAUGUUUUGGAUAUAUUUUUAACUUUUGGCUAUUGCUAUUAGUUCUAUUAUAGUUUAAAUUAUACAUGUAUUGUAUAUAUCUUAUAUAUUUUUUAGUUUUUGUUAUGAUAUCAAUUUAUAUAUCAAAUUCCCAUUAUACUUUAUCAUGAAAUAAAAGAUUAAGUUUGAUGAUAAAUUAGAGAAAAGUGAUCACUUACCCUAUCAUAUAUAUCAAGUAUGCAUUUUAUUUUUUAUUUAUUGUAUGAAAUGAAUUGAUCUAUUAUUUUUCGUAGUGAUGAUUUUUUUUUGUUUAUCAUUAUGAUAUUAUGUUUGUUGUUUUGAUAUUAUUACUCUCAUGAUCUAAUUUGAAAUGAAACUAAUUACUAUCGAAGUAAACAAAAAUUGAUAAAAGUAGGUCUUUAGUUUAAAUUUUUUGAUAUAUAUAACAAGUGUUAUAAGGUUUAUGGUAAAUAAUAGUUAUUUUCACCAAAUAAUUAUAAAAUAAUGUUUAUAUUUACGUGUGCUUUAUCAUACAUUUUAUACUAAUUUUAAAAUUCAAAUAUCUUUUUUUAAAUUUAAGUUUUUGAACACAGUCUAUAUAUUGAAAAAAAUAAAAAUAAAAUAUGCUCUUCAAUUUGAAGUACAAUUAUAUAUAAAGAAUUUUUUUAUACUUUAAUAUCAAAUUGAAAUCACUACAACAUAAAAAUUUAAAAUUUAAAAGAAAGAUAAUUUUUUUGGGGCUAAAUGCUCAAUUUGGGAUUAAUCAUUUUGGUGGAUGUUCAAUUCAGGAUUAAACGUUUUAAUUUAUAUAAAAAAAAUUAAAUGUUAUCGACUUAUAACAAUAUAUGAUUUUUUUUAACAAAAACUUGAGAGUGUAACAUAGGCCAUUAAGUUUAAAAAUUACUACAAAUAAAAAUGACGUGGAAUUAAGCUUCCAAUCUUUGCAUGACAGAUAGAAAGGCUCUUGUCUUUUUUUAUAAGCUUAUUUCAUUUCAUUUGUCUUUUUCCUUAUCAUUUCUCUUCUUUUUUACAAAGUAAAGUCUACAAAAUUUGGACCAUGAUUUUCUCUUUUUUCUUAUUCUGUUCUAGAACCAUACCUCCACUUGCCUAGGUUUCAGAUUCAAUUGCUUUGCCAAUGCCAACUUUUGCUUUUGCACAUAACACAAAACCAGCAUUAAACCUAAACUGCAAUUUCUGAAACUACCUUUACUAAAGAAAUCAAUGACUGAAAUGCCACUAAUCGUAUUAAGAGUGCUAUGUUCCUUGAAGUUUUCUUUAAGCACCAAGGACUGUUCCUUUGAAAGCCUAAGCUUCUUCCUUGAGGCAUCGCUAGCAGCACCAUCUUCAUCAUCACUGGCACGAAAACAAGGCACUCUUUUAGCCUCGGGUUCAUUACUCACAGAGUCUCUCUCAUUUCUCUUUCCACUAUGUUGUUGGGCGACUCCAACCCAACUUCCUCAUCGUAAUCAACCAUUGCUAGUGCUUGGUUCACAUCAAUUCCUCUAAGAAAUGAUCUUGUAUCCAAGUAUAGAUCUACAUGUAAAUUAUGAAUCACAAAACUCAUUUCAUUAACCUGAUCAGGUUAGCUUUAUCUAAAUAUCAACUUCGUAAUUACAAUAAAAUAGAUGACUAUUUGUGAAUAUUGUGUUGCUUAUGAAAUGUGACACAACAAACCCAAUAGGCCACAUAACACUGUUGUUUAAAUUUCAAGUUCAUUGACUAAUAAUCUGGAUGUGGGACAAAUGUAGCAAUGUUAAGCUUAGGUUAUCAACAUUUUGACUGCAUAAAUGUCAAGCUUAGCUUUUUUCAAGCUUAGUACCUUUGGCUUGCUUGGCUUCUUUAAUGUUUAAGGUAGAAGAUGAAUUGUUUAAAUGGAUGGUUAUUGGAAGCAACAACCAUAAGGAAAUGUUGGUUGUCGGUGAGGUUGGAGUAAGAGUUGUAAUUGGAAUAGCUUUCAUCAUUGACUUUGAAAGGAUGGUUAUUGGAAGCAGCAUGAAUCUCUUCACCUUUCAUCUUUUUUGAAAGGCAGAGCAAAAAGAGAAAAAAAAAAUGAAAUAGAGAUGAUUUAGAUCUAUGAAUUUUUAGAUAACUAUAAAGAAAUUUAUUUGGAUAGAUGUAAUGAAAUGUUUGAGAGGAAAAAAUAAUGAAAUUUUAGGACGAAAAGAUGUAGACAAAUAGUAGUAUGGCAGCAAGAAUCUAAGUUUUAAAGAUAGGCUAGAAUUGAAAUUUUAGAGAGAGAAAAGAAUAACUUAUUAGUCUUUUAGAGAGAGAAAUGAAGAAGUAAUUGUUAGAGUUAAGUAAAAAAGUGAGUUCCAUUGGGAAAAGGCUGUCUUAGUUCUUUUCAUGCAUUAUAACUCACAUUUCUUUCACAUUCAAAUUUUCAUUGAAAAAAAUUCUAUAUUAUUAUAAAUCGAUAAUAUUUAAUCUUUAUUUGUACAAAUUAAAACAUUUAGUCCUAAAUUGAACAACCACCUAAAUGUUUAAUACCAAAUUGAGCAUUUAGCUUUUUUUUGGAAACUUAAUUAAUUAAAAUAAAUUUAUAAAAAUUAAAAACCCCGUGCUUUGCACAAGUAAAAACUAGUAAUGAUAAAUACUAAUAAUUUAAUUGGUAUUUUUAAACUAUAAGUAAAUUUUAAUAACUUUUGAUAUAAUUUUGAUUUCAAUAACUUUUGAUAAAAUUUUGGUAACCUUCGUACAAUUUUGGUAACUUGUAAUAUAUUUUGAUAAUCAUUAAUACAAUUUUGAUAAUUUUUUAUAAAAUUUUGGUAACUUCUUCCUCUCGAUGUAAUUUUAGUAAUCUUUUGAUAAUUUGUUACAUAUAUUUAGUAAUUAUUGAUAAAUUUUGUACCAUCAUAUAUUUUCCUAUAAGAAAGCGAUGGUUCAAUUUUAAUAUAAAAUAAAUUUUUUUAUAUAAUAAUAAUAUUAUUUCGUUCAAAUUCAAAAUUUUUUCACUAAAUUUUUUAUUGAAUAGGUUUAUAGUAGAUUUAUCCUAAACUCUAAAGAUGAAAUUUGUAAUAUAAAAAAUUAGCAUGUGUUAUGUAAAAAAUUAACAUGUGUUAUAAUUGCUAAGUUGUUAAUUUUUAAAAUCAAUUACACAUGUCAAUUUUUUAGAAAACAUAACAAAUUUGAAAAAUUAAUUACAUUACACAUGUUAAAUUUUUAGAUUCUCUAUAUGUCAAAAGAUAAGCCUAUCCACUUUAUACUAUCUCUUUUUUUCUUAAAGAUUUUGACUUAUAUAUAUGUGUAUAUAUAUGUAGAUACAUAAGAGAAGAUAAGAUAAGAUAUUGUAUUUUUCUAAUAAUGUAAUAUUUAAUUUGAAUUCAAACCGUUAGACCAUUUAAUUUGACAUUUAUUUAAUUUUAGUAUUUUAGAUGCAUGUUAGGGCUACAUGAAAAGAAAUUACACUAAAACAUUUAAAUUCGAGAAAAUGGGUCAUUAAGAUAUACAUGACCAACUUUGUUCAAUUUUAUUAUAACUGGUCCCUCAGUAUUAAAGGACUAAACCUACAUAAAGCAGAAUAUAGUUUAUGCUACGAUAUUGAUUUACCAUUUUGAAAGUAAACUAACCUUUUUUUAAAUGUAGAUUAAAUUUACUUGUUGUAAGAUUUAAAUGAAUUUCAAUUUCAUUGGCUGGACAGGUUGUGAUUGGGGAAGUGUUGGAUGUGGUGGUCUACAUGCCAUAGUUGAGAUUGGAAUUGGGUUGGUGUAGAGUUCAGAGGGAUUCUUGGAGUUUUGUUAGAGACCAUGAGAGUUUGUUUAACAAUGGGUUUGCAAUACUAAUUCAUUUCUUUGUUUUUGCUUGUUUCUGUACUUCAUUACUUUCAUUUCAUGCUUUUAGCGUGAAGUGAUUGAGGGAAGGAAGGAAGGGCCUCAAAACGUAGGAUAAGAGUAUUAAUUUGUUUAGUUAGCAUGGAGCUGUGAGUAUAGGAUCAGAAUCCACUUAGUUCAGACUAUCACUGUCGUGGGUCUAGGAACCUGAUCGCUGGAUUUUAGAAAAAUGAAAAUGAAUAAAAUGUAUCUAAUAUCUUAUAUAAAUAUAUAAAAACUAAAACUUUGCACAAAAAAAGAAAUUUGUCAAAUGUGGAAGGUUUAUUAUUUUGACACAUGUACAUUCUUAAAUAAACGACAUGUGUCAUCUAUAAAUAAAUUUUAUUUGAUUUGAUUUGGUAUAUUUUUAAUUUAAAAAAAUUAAAAUGCUUAAAUUGAUUUGAUUCAUUUUAAUGUAAAAAAAAAAUGUAAAUUUAUUUCGUUUAGAUUAUUGCCUUUAUUCUCUUCAAUUUCCAUUAGUCUUACCUUACAUAAAUAAGUUUCAAUUCCAUUUAUAAUCAAAGUUUGUAUUCUCUUAUUCUUAUUGACCUUAAAUCACUCUUAAUUAAAUUUUAUUCUUGAUUCUUAACAUUCAACUUCAACAUUACAAAUAGGACUAUGCUUUGGUGCAUUACGAAUAAUAGUAUUGGUUUGGUCUACUCUAUACUUCUAUUAUGUUCUGUUUCUUUUUUUCUUUUGUUCCAUUAGUUUGUUUCUUCAUGCUUCUAUUUGUUUUAUUCCUCUUUAUGUCAAAGUGUUAUUUCUUUUAUUAUUUUUUAAUAUUAAAAUUUGGUUUUUACAAAAAAAAAAAAAAAAACCAGUUUGCCUUUAGUUCUUAAAAUAUUAGUAUAACAUACAAGUAAGUUGAUGUGCAUUAGAAAUUAAUCUAAACAUUCCCUACACAAUAUAAAAUAACUUGCUUUUAUUUUGUUUUUCUAUUUCAUUUUUAGUUUAUUUUUUAAUGAUUUAGUUUUUCUAUUUAAUUUUAGUUUAUUUUUAAUGAUUUAGUUUCUAAUUUUUAUAUGCAAAUGUUUGUAUGCUAUGUAAUUAAUAUUUGCUGCAAAAUUCAACCAGUUUUAAUAAUUGUUAACAAAUUGUUACCAGGAACAUUUCUGAUCUCAAAUGCCAUAGUGAAAGAUCACUACACAUGAAAAAUUAGUCUAUGGUACACGAGGAUAUCCAAGAAAAUAUGUAUACCUUUGCAAUUCUAUUAUUUUAUGAUACACUUUGCAUAUAAAUUUCUUCUAUUACUGCAACACAUUCUAGGGUUUACAUAAAUAUCAUUUAAACCAUUAUACAUUGCCAUCAUUUUAGAUUGUAUUCAAAUGAUGAUGCCUUCAUUUAAAAAUAAAAAUUCAACAUUCAACUUUAACACUAUAUAAGAAUAAAAGUAUGCUUUCAUGCAUUAACAUUUAAUAAUUAAUACUGAAAAGAAUUUAAUUUAAAUUAUUAUUAGAAGACUAAAUUUUAAUUUUAUAUAUUAUUGUUUUAACAAUACUACAUUAAAUGAUUUCUUUCUAGCACAUGAUAAAAAAAUCAAUUUGAGUUACUUCCAAAUAAUUAAUCCAUAUAAAAACACAUUUUAAAAUAUUAUUACCUGAGAAUAGGAGUAUAAUUGGACUGCCUGGUUCUGUUCACCAUAAAUUUAGCAAUUUUCACUUUUAGAACUAUCUUUUUAAUAUAUUUAAUGUAAAUAUAUAAAAAGAGAAUUUUUAUAUACAUAAUUAACCUUAUUGAAAUGUGAAAAAUCUUGAAAACUCAUCAUCUUUCUAAGUGAAAUUGCUUUGAUUUGAUUUGAUUUAAUUUUAAUUUAAAAGUUAUUUCAAAUAAUAAAUUGUCUUUGUUUCUUUAAGCAAUUUUAAUUUAAUUACUUUUUACAUUUUUCAUAGACUUGAUGACAAUGUAUAACAAUUAGUACAAGUUUAAAUUUAAAAGCUAAAUUCAGUUCACAAUCAAAGAAUAAAUUAAUUUCGUAUUUUAGUUAUUUUUCCAAAUGAAUUGAUAAAUAUUUAGUUGUCUUAUUUGUGCCUAAGAUAAUAAUGAAAACGAUAACUUUUGACUGUAAUUGAAAAUAUUUUUUUAUCCAAAUCUUGUAUAUAAAUAUAUACAAGCUAAAACCUCUAACAAAAAAAAAUCUGAUAUGCCUAGUCUAUAUUUUUGACAUGUGGAUAAUCCAAAAAAUUGACAUAUGUUUAAAAUUAAUUAUGCAUUUAAAGUUUAAAAUUUGAUGGAAAAAUAAAUUUAAUUUAAAAUAUCUUAUUUUCAUUAUUAUAAAAUGCAUUUAAUGAUUCUUAUUAACAUUUAUUUUUAAAUGAUUAAUUGACUAAAAUAAAUUAAGAACCAAAUCAAGAGUAAUAACAUAUUAAAUUGAGAGUAAUUUAUGCUUGAUAAUUAGAAUAGUCAAGUAUAAUGUGUAUUCAAUAUGCUUGCAAAAAAUAAAAAAAAAAAUUGAAAUUAAUAUAAUAAUAAUAAUAAUAAAAUAAUUUGAUUUGACAUACUAAAAAUAAUUUUAAUUGAUUUAAUCAUCUGUUAGUUAUUUUAAAAUCAAUAUAUUAAAUAUAUAUAUAUAUAGCUUAAAAGAUGGAGCGAAUAGAUCAUAUUUUUAAAAAAAAUUGGAAGUAAAUGCUAUAAUAAAUAUAAAUCAAGAGUUAAAUAUUUAUAAUUGAAAAAAUAGAUAUAAAAUUAUUUUAUUUAUUAAUAAUGACAACUAAAAUUUUAAUACCUUUCAUAUGAACUUAAUGAGAGUGAUUUAAGGUAAAUAAUAAAAAAAUAAAUGUAAUCAAUUUAUUUUUUGAAUUAUUUUUUAAAUUAAAAAUAUAUCAAAUAAAAUAAAAUACAUUUAUUAGAGGAAAUAUAGUGUCAUAACAUAUAAGUUCACAAACCUAUCACUCGACACAAUUAAAAAAGUCACUAUCAAUUUUUUUUGUUUAAAUGCAAUUGGUACUAUUUUCAUUGAAACUUUUUAAUUUUAAUAAGUUAUAUAUAAUUAUAUCAAUAGUAUAUUGCCUUUUACGAGGUGUUUGAAUAGGGAAAAAGUUAGAUUACCCCUUGAAUCUUAUUUUUCAUAAUUUGAUUUUUUUUUGUUUGGCUCGCAGUAUUUGAUUCUUGCGGGUAUUUUAAGAUUCCCAAUAGUAUCCAAAUGGUUCAAAAAUAGAAACUCACCUCUCCCUAAGGUUUUUUAAAAUUUCAAAAAAAUGUAAAAUUUAUAUCACUUUUGACCUCAAUAAUAGUUUUUUAUAAUUUAUUUUACCUUUAAAUAUUAAUGUAAUUAUAUGAUAAAUGGAGAUUUAUUCUGACACGCAAAGCUACAUUCCUAGCAUUUUUUACAUACAAUCAAUAAAACAUAACAUUUUUUACAUAAAUAUGUAGUUGUUGUUGGUAGAGUAAAUAUAAUAGAAUAUUUAUGAUAUUUUAACUAUGUUUUUUUAUAUAAAAAACAAAAUAUUUGAUUGUCAAAAACUGCAUAUAUAACAGCCAAAACGAUAUGUUUUUUAAGUAAAUUUUUUUAUGAUUUAUCAAACACUAUGUUGUUAUAUUAGAAAUGUGAUUAUAUGUUAUAAUAUGUUAUGAAAAAAUUAAUUAUAAUAAAAACAACAUUUUUUAAAAAAAAUGUAAUUGAUUUUGAAAAAUAAGAAUUUUGCAUUUUAUAUAGUUUUAGAAGCACUAUGUUUUUAACAUAUAAAACAUAGUUGAUAAUAAAAAUAACAUUUUUGAAUAUAGAAAUUACAACAUUUGUUGAAAAUAUGAAAAAAAAUAUUUUUUAAAAUUCAACAAAGAUUGCUUUUGUAAGAUAGAAAAAGCAAUCUUUGUUGAAAAAGCUACUUUUCUAAGAUAAAAAUGUAGUUUUUGUUAAAUAAACGAUAUUUUUAAGCUAAAAAGAUAAUCUUUGUUAAAAAAACAACAUUUCUAAUAAGAAAAAAGAAUUUUUGUUGAAAAUAUAAAAUUUUUUUUUAAAAAUUCAAUAAAGACAAUGCUUCUAGAUAAAAAAAGUGAUUUUUGUUAAAAGCAUAAAAAAAAUACUUUUUAAAAUUUAACAAAAAUAAUGUUCUUAAGAUAAAAAUAUAAUUUUUAUUAAAAAAAUGACGUAUCAAUAUUAUAAUAUCAAAUGUUAUUCACAUAUUAUUAAAAGAUAAUAUAACAAAAUAUUUUAUUAGAUAAUCUUACGUUCCUAUAAAUCAAAUAUAAAAAUCGUAACAAUGUCCAUUACUAAUACCUAUCAUCAUAACUUUACACCUACACCUUACACGGUGUCAUCAUAACUUUUUAUCACGUGUCAAGUUCAAAAGCUCCCAUCUUUUAAAUUAAAAUCAUCAACCCCAACUCCAUCAGAGACACAACCCUUCCUUUCAUCGCGUAAAUCCCCUGCCACCCAUCAAUCUCGAUGCCACGAAUAUAAAUUGAAUUAAUUAAACUUAGAAUCUAAGAUAAUAAUUUAAUUUAUUGGGCGAUCGAUGUGUGAGAUUUUAAAUUUUAAAAGAAAAUAUGAUAUUUGAAGUUUUAUUUGAUUUAUAAAAUAUUUCUUUUAAAUUCAAUCGUUUAAUUGAAGAAAAUGUUUAUUUAUUAAAUUAUAUAAUUGAUAAUAAAUUUUUUGACAACUUAGAAGUAACCUUUUAUUUUAAUUUUUUUAAAUCAGACGAUAAAUGAUAUUUUUAUCAUCAAAUAAAAUACAUAGCUUUUAUUUUUUUAAAAUUAAAUAUAUUUUAUUAAGAUGUUUAAUUACACAUUAUAUCAUAAUUGAGUUUAUAAAAAUAUACAACAAAAUUUUCAAUUACAAUGUUUAAUUUUACAUUAUACCGUAUUUGACGUUAAAAAAAAAUAAAACCCUUCAAUUACUGCAUUUCAUUUCAAUAAACACUGUAAUUGAUAUGUUUUAAUAAUUGAAUCAAAUCAAAUUUUGAAUAAAAUCCAACAGAAAGUAAAAAUGGAGUAGAAAGUUAAAUUUUUCUCCAUAAAUUGCAUGAGAGGGGAGUCAACAGAGACAGGAUCAUUAACAUAGUGGCUUUUAUGGAAAAUCUGACGGUGACCUAAAAUUUCAGACCCCGUUUUUGAAACAACCAUGUUGUUCUUUUCCUCAUUGUUUAUUGGUUUAUUAAAGGUAGAAGACCAAAACAAAAUUGAAUUUGGAUGGGUUUUUAUUGCCAAGAUUGUGGGUUGAAAGGUAAAAGAUUUGUUGGAGUGGGAAAAGAGUGGGAAAGAUUCAAGGAAAAGAUUGGUUUUGGUUGAUGAGAAGAUGUAAGGGCGAGUUGCUAUUAUAGUCUUGGCCAUUGAAGACGUCAAAGGGUGGCUGUGGGGAAAUUGAAACUGGUUUUUCCAAAUAAAAAACGGGUGGUGACUGGUGAGAGAGGAAGAUGGCAAAAACAAAGGGAAAAUGGGCUUUAAAUUUUGGGGCCGAAUGCUCAUUUCAUUGAAAUUGGCAAUACGGUAACCUGUUGUAACCGCCCAAAAAAUUGUCCAAAUCAUGAACUCGUGGUCCACGAACGAUACUGUCUGCUUCGAGGUCACAUUUUCGUUUUCUUCUAUGAUGUUGGAUUCAAAAGGAUCUAUUUGGUAUUCAAAUUAGGUUAUGUGUUCAUCUACGUUAACAAGGAGAGAUGACAAAAAACAAACAUAUGAAAUUUGAUCAUUUUUUAUUGAUCUUUUGUUCAAUUGAAAAUUUUGAUAUCAAGUUGGGUGUUUGUAGAAUUGAAAUUCAUAGCAAAUGAAAUUAAGAAGUGUUCAUUUCUAAUAAUUUUACAGGAAAAAAAAAACAAUAAGAAAAACUUUUUUUCUUUUCAUCGGGCGAUAUGGACCAAUGUUGUGGUUAACAAAUUGGAAAGAGAUUAGGAUGGGAAAAAAUUGUAACAUGUACUAUUUUUGGAGUCUUCAAUGAAUUAAAUGGGUUUAAUUUUAAAGACACCAGCAUGAAUAAUUAUUGGACAAAAUAUGGACCACUAGCUCCAAUUGAAAAAAAAGGGCAAUUAAGAAUUUUUUUUUUAAAGAAUGUCAAAUCUUUGAAAUAAUUAACAGAAUAAUCCUAAUAAAAGAAAUAACAAUUUUAUCAUAGAUUGAGAGGAAUAAUAGUUAAAAUAAACAAUAAUUCAUAUAAAUAAUAACUUAAAACAAAAUUUUCAAAUUUAUUUACAUUAAUUUUGUACUUAUUUUUAAGUAAAAUUAUUUUCUAAAUAUAUGUGACAAUAAAAUAUUUAAAAUUUUGCUUGAAUAAAAUAUUAAAAAAUAAUAAAAAUUAAAAGAGAAAGAAAAUAUUUUUAAUUUAAUAGACUAAAUAAAAUAUGUCUUUCAAUUAAAUAUAAUAAACAAAUAAAAAGGAAAUGUCUCACUUCAUAGUUAUUGCCAAAAAAAAAAAAAGGUCAAUGUAAGGAAAUUGUAGUUUUCCUUUAGAAAAAUAAAUAAAACUUGAUUUUAUUUUGAUGAAAUGAUUAAUAUAAAAACAAUUACAAUCAUUAUUCAAAUAUUAUAUAUAUAGAAUUAAUAAAAAUAAUAACAACUCAAAUAAACCAAACAGCAAAAGAUUUAACAUAUAAUUAGAUAACUUUAAUAUAAAAUUAAAUCAAACUUAUAUGACACGUAAUGCAAACACACUUAAAGAUUUUCCUAAAAAAAAAAUUAGAAUUUUAAGUUUUAACCCACAAGCAAGUCACCAGUUGCUUCUUAGAAUUAACAAGCUAGUUUCCAACUACAACACCACACAUGACACAUUCUCUCUUCAUGUCUCGAUUUUUUCUCUUCUACACUAUAUUUCUUUUGUUCUUUUACAAAGCAGAUGAAACAGAAACUGAUUUACCCAUUUCAUCAGCUGGCUGCUCCUUCGACAUGUUGUCCAAUUCCUUGGAAAAUCUUUCCAUAGCUGGAGCUGUCAAACAAAUUAGCAUAAGAGUUCCAGCCUCUCCAUUUUUAUUCUUGGAUGCUACAAGAUGGCUUGAUGCCACAGGUAUAGCACCUAUCCCAGCUUUGGCGAACCCACCGUAAACUGCCUUACCCCACCCAAAAUCAACGUCUACAAAUGCAACACGGGUUACAUCUGAUAUAAAACAAGAUCUCACCAUUGUACAGUGGAGUCUUUUACCUUUAAUCACCAUGAAAUCUGCUGCUGAUUUAACGUAUUCUUCAGUCACACUCUCCUUGGCUUGCUUCACUAGUUCCACUGCAUAUCCUAGCGGAUUCUGGCAGAGUUUUCUAGCUGUUGUUAUUGCCGCUGGGAACACAAUUGCAUUCCCAUAAAAUCCUGAUGGUAAUGGAGGAUUCAACUUGGAACGUACAUUGACAACGCAUAGCAAUCGCACCUCUUCAUCAGGGUCAGGUUUUAUAGCAAUGGUUCGACAACGCCAUAAACACGAUGCUAAGAUGUCAAAUUUCGAACACUUAUGAAGGUGGUGCGGUAGGAGCUUGCGAAGAGUUGAAACUUCUUUGGGGCCAAAGAAAAAGGAGCGUUGAACCAUGUUUUCCGAUAGGAUGAUAGUGCCUUCUACUUCAUCGUAUUCACGGUGCGUGAAUGAGAUUCGUGGUGGAUCACGAGCAUCUAAGAGGUGCCUCUCCCACUUGGGUGGGAUUGAGGGAGCAAUUGCACCACGACUCAUCUCAGCCAUGGCAGACAUGAAUUGAAUCAUGCCACCGGCAUCGCCUAAGACAUGGUUGAAGCGAAUGGCAAAGAUAAAACCUCCACAUUUCAGUCUUGUUACCUGUUGAUUAGUUUAUUUUUCAUCAUGCAACGACUUUCCAAUAUUAAUUAUGAACAGUACGAAGAGAGGAUGUAUAAAAGUAUCUAAAUAUAGAGUAAUUAAAUUGCAUCACAUAUAUUCGUUAUUUUUGUGUAAUAUUUAUUUUCAUUUAUGAUUUUUAAAUUUUAUUUUAUUCAUCUAAUGUUUUAAAAAUAUUUCAUAUUCAUAAAUUUCAUCGACUAUCAUUAAAAUUAAUUCGAUAAAAUCUAUCAUCUUAAAACUACAUGUAUGGCUAUGUCUAAGUGACAAAAAAGUAAAUCAUUUUAACUUUUUAUCCUAAAAAAAAAUAUUUUAUAUUCAUAAAUUUUGUCGACUAUCAUUAAAAUUAAUUCGAUAAAAUCUACCAUCUUAAAACUAUAUGUAUGGUUAUGUCUAAGUGACAAAAAAGUAAAUCCUUUUAACUUUUUAUCAUAAAAUUUAUAUCAUAAACAUUUACCUUUCAUUGUCGUGUUAUAUUUCAUUAAAUUUAUAAUAAUGAUUGAUAAAAUAGAUGAAUUUAUAAAUAAAUUUUAAAAAUUAUAAAUAAAAAAUAUAUAUUUUACAAAAAUCAUAGAUGUAAGAUGCAUUUUUCUCUAAAAUACAUAAUAAAAGAAAGAAAAAAAAUGGUUACAAGUACCAUUAUACUGGCGAUCUUGUUGGAAGCAUCCACAAACUAAAUUAUUGGUAUAGGCUUGUAGUUGUAGGCUCGGCAGCAUGACUCCGAUCAAGCGUGGGUAUAAAUUUUUUAAGCCGAGCACCAUCCAAAGAUAAUAUUAUAUUUAUUUAAUUUUAAUCUUAACUAUAUUUAUAAAUAUUAAUAAAAGGAUAUUUUAAUAAUAAAUAUAACAUUUCUUAUAAAUAUAAAUACUCCUACUACCAUCCAUGUCAAGAGCAAGAUGUUCAAAAAUGGCGUAUGCCCGUAUAAGAAGCACAUGCAUGUAAAGGAGCUCAUCAAAGCAAGGGAAUGGUGGUUGAAGUGCAUACAAGUCAAUUAGUUAAUAAAAUGAAAAGUAAGUUGAUCACGUUAAUGCUCACAAGACCUUGGAGCUGUAAAUAACCAAGUACCUCAACAUCCCUUCUGAGCCUGGAACAUUGUAAAGGAGCUCAUCAAAGCAAGGGAAUGGCGGUUGAAGUGCAUCGCCAAAUUGCUCGAGUUUAACAUCAGCUUCAGCCUCAAUAAACAAGGCACCCUCGCCGGUGCAUCCACCGCAAGCUUGCGAUUACGACUUUCCCUUAGCCUACCAGCUAAUGGAUAAUAAAAAAACUAAGGUUUGUGCAAGUGCAUCCUUAAUAACCCUUGCAGGGUCCUUCCCUUGCAUGCAUGGAUUGCACCGAUAAAUUUGAAUGACAGGAAUCUGUAACCGGAGACUCUGUUGAUCAUCAAUGUCGGAUAAUAGUUUAUACUCGCAAGGUGUGGCCUUGGCCGGAGCAACAAGCUCGGCUUCGCUUCUUCGAAUUGUAAAUACCAGGGAAGUUGGCAGUUGUGGCAUGGCACAAAACCUGUAGGAUUUAUGUGGGGUUAGACACAGAUGAUAG